AGUGGCGGACGGGUGAGUAACGCGUGAGAAUCUGCCUUGGGGUCGGGGACAACCACUGGAAACGGUGGCUAAUACCGGAUAAGCCGAUUGGUGAAAGAUUUAUUGCCCGAAGAGGAGCUCGCGUCUGAUUAGCUAGUUGGUGAGGUAAGAGCUCACCAAGGCAGCGAUCAGUAGCUGGUCUGAGAGGACGAUCAGCCACACUGGGACUGAGACACGGCCCAGACUCCUACGGGAGGCAGCAGUGGGGAAUUUUCCGCAAUGGGCGAAAGCCUGACGGAGCAAGACCGCGUGAGGGAGGAAGGCUCCUGGGUUGUAAACCUCUUUUCUCAGGGAAGAAGCUCUGACGGUACCUGAGGAAUCAGCCUCGGCUAACUCCGUGCCAGCAGCCGCGGUAAUACGGAGGAGGCAAGCGUUAUCCGGAAUUAUUGGGCGUAAAGCGUCCGCAGGUGGCGAUUCAAGUCUGCUGUCAAAGCACGGGGCUUAACUCCGUAAAGGCAGUGGAAACUGAAUAGCUAGAGUGCCGUAGGGGUAGAGGGAAUUCCCGGUGUAGCGGUGAAAUGCGUAGAGAUCGGGAAGAACAUCGGUGGCGAAAGCGCUCUACUGGACGGCAACUGACACUCAGGGACGAAAGCUAGGGGAGCGAAUGGGAUUAGAUACCCC
This 660-nucleotide ribosomal RNA is filed under the name uncultured bacterium. RNAcentral's name for it is "bacterial SSU rRNA". It matches the Rfam family "Bacterial small subunit ribosomal RNA", at positions 94 to 788 of the family's 1533-position model. The record is from RNAcentral.